AAAAAUCUUGAUCACCAACACUUGUCUAACACUAGGCAACACGAGUGAGGCGUCGGGAAGUCAAGCCGGUGCGGACACUCGCUUAAAAGGGAAGCUUUGAGAAUGGCUGCGGAUGUAAAGAUAUGCAAAAAACCAAGCACGAAGGCGAGAACACUUGACAACCUCCUAGAAGAUGGUGCGGUGCACAUAAGGAAGUAAUUGAUCAGAACGAUCAAUUGUAUAUGAAUUAAUAUAACCCCAGUGGCAGAUAUGUAAUUAGCGAGCUCUGGAAUUUCAAGGAAAAUCGAAGAGCUACACUGGGGUUAUAUUCAUUCAUAUAUGAAUGAAUAUAACCCAAGUGGUAGAUAUGUAAUUACCUACACUGGGAUUAUAUUCAUUCAUAUCUGCUACAUUCCGAAGUGCACCCAUCAGCAAGGAUCCACAAUUUCUUGUGGUGAUACGACAUUUUGUCUCUGUAUUGUAUGUUACGGUCUUUUAUUAUCGAGUCUGUAAGUCCUGUCAAGUCUACGAAGUUGGUAUGACGUGUU
Helianthus annuus (common sunflower) is the source of this 527-nucleotide long non-coding RNA. RefSeq lists it as uncharacterized. Lineage: Eukaryota; Viridiplantae; Streptophyta; Magnoliopsida; Asterales; Asteraceae. The transcript is spliced from 3 exons. The record is from RefSeq and is a predicted model, not a curated record.